GGGAUUAACAAGAUCAGCGGCAGGUUGAUUAACCAUCAGCUCACUUCUUUUUCAGGCUGGAUGCUGAAUAUCAUGGAGCGAGGAAAGGAAAGACGUCAAGUUUAUCUACAUGUUUUCCAACAGGAGGGGUCAACAUCAGGAGAAAAAUAAGAAGCAGCAAACUGAUUUUCUAUAGCAGUGUAACAGGCUGCUCUCCUGGGAUUCCUACCUGUGUAAUUGCCCUUGUUACACUAACUGCUGAAUAGGAAAGCCUGCCUCUUCACCACUGCUCUGAUGUGACACUGGAAGUCUGGAAUAUUUGGUCCCCACAAUCUACAUCAGCGACUCUCAACCCUGACUGCAUAUGUAAUUCACCUAAGCAUUUUUGAAUGAAACUCGUGUCCAGGCUCCACUCAAGACAAAUUAAAACAAUCUGUGGCAAUGAAGUGCAGGAAAGGAUAUUUUAUUCAAAGUUCCCAGGUAAUUCUAUUGUGUGGCCAGAGUUGAAUACUACUGGUCUACACAUGUCGUA
Molecule: long non-coding RNA, 511 nt
Organism: Callithrix jacchus (white-tufted-ear marmoset)
Lineage: Eukaryota; Metazoa; Chordata; Mammalia; Primates; Cebidae
Source: RefSeq, a predicted model, not a curated record